GUUGAGAUUGCUGAGUUGGUCUACUGCGCUAAAUUAAGAUUUUGGUCCGAAAGCGCGUGGGUUCAAAUCCCACUCUCAACA
Molecule: non-coding RNA, 81 nt
Filed under: Musa acuminata subsp. malaccensis (wild Malaysian banana)
Lineage: Eukaryota; Viridiplantae; Streptophyta; Magnoliopsida; Zingiberales; Musaceae
Description: tRNA
Rfam family: tRNA
About the family: Transfer RNA (tRNA) molecules are approximately 80 nucleotides in length. Their secondary structure includes four short double-helical elements and three loops (D, anti-codon, and T loops).
Source: Rfam by way of RNAcentral